CUGUGCACAAGAGGGGUGCUGAGGAUUGGCAGUGCCCACUCCUAUGCCAUCAUGACUUUGACUUCUUCAACUCAACAGGACUGCAGCAGUCUGUGCUUCUGUACACAACACCCAACACCUACAUCCAUGACACCAUCACCACCAGCGUGGAGAAAGACAGUGAUGAAGGCUUCUGGUAGGAUCCUUUCUCAAUGGGGCCCUGGGUGGCUCUGUUUGGAAAGCUCUCCCAGGAAAAGGUUCUCCCAGCGUCUCUAAACUCUCACAGGUUCCCAUCCACCCAUCAAGCUAAAAUCCAGACUGUCAGGCACUGGCUCCCAAAAUCACCUGUUUGGCUGGCCUCAGUUGGAGAAGAGGGGUCUGGUCUAAGGUCACACAGCUCAGGGUGGCAAUCCUGUCCCUUCCCCACGGUGCUGCCCUCACUCCAUCUCCCCAUGGUACACAUCGUGCUCAAGGAACAGGCAGCUUAUGAGGUGACUAAGGUGUGGGCCCAGGGCACCUUCAGACUCAACCCCAAUGAUGAGGACA
Long non-coding RNA from Sapajus apella (tufted capuchin), 525 nucleotides. RefSeq lists it as uncharacterized. Lineage: Eukaryota; Metazoa; Chordata; Mammalia; Primates; Cebidae. The transcript has 3 exons. The record is from RefSeq and is a predicted model, not a curated record.